AGUGAACGCUGGCGGUGGGCCUAACACAUGCAAGUCGAACGGCAGCACAGUAAGAGCUUGCUCUUACGGGUGGCGAGUGGCGGACGGGUGAGGAAUACAUCGGAAUCUACUUUUUCGUGGGGGAUAACGUAGGGAAACUUACGCUAAUACCGCAUACGACCUACGGGUGAAAGCAGGGGAUCUUCGGACCUUGCGCGAUUGAAUGAGCCGAUGCCGGAUUAGCUAGUUGGCGGGGUAAAGGCCCACCAAGGCGACGAUCCGUAGCUGGUCUGAGAGGAUGAUCAGCCACACUGGAACUGAGACACGGUCCAGACUCCUACGGGAGGCAGCAGUGGGGAAUAUUGGACAAUGGGCGCAAGCCUGAUCCAGCCAUACCGCGUGGGUGAAGAAGGCCUUCGGGUUGUAAAGCCCUUUUGUUGGGAAAGAAAAGCAGCAGGUUAAUACCCCGCUGUUCUGACGGUACCCAAAGAAUAAGCACCGGCUAACUUCGUG
RNAcentral lists this ribosomal RNA (492 nucleotides) under uncultured bacterium. Its description in RNAcentral is "partial 16S ribosomal RNA". It matches the Rfam family "Bacterial small subunit ribosomal RNA", at positions 29 to 507 of the family's 1533-position model. The record is from RNAcentral.